Molecule: ribosomal RNA, 497 nt
Filed under: uncultured bacterium
Lineage: Bacteria
Description: partial 16S ribosomal RNA
Rfam family: Bacterial small subunit ribosomal RNA
Source: RNAcentral
GAUGAACGCUGGCGGCGUGCCUAAUACAUGCAAGUCGAGCGAACAGACGAGGAGCUUGCUCCUCUGACGUUAGCGGCGGACGGGUGAGUAACACGUGGAUAACCUACCUAUAAGACUGGGAUAACUUCGGGAAACCGGAGCUAAUCCCGGAUAAUAUAUUGAACCGCAUGGUUCAAUAGUAAAAGACGGUUUUGCUGGCACUUAUAGAUGGAUCCGCGCCGCAUUAGCUAGUUGGUAAGGUAACGGCUUACCAAGGCAACGAUGCGUAGCCGACGUGAGAGGGUGAUCGGCCACACUGGAACUGAGACACGGUCCAGACUCCUACGGGAGGCAGCAGUAGGGAAUCUUCCGCAAUGGGCGAAAGCCUGACGGAGCAACGCCGCGUGAGUGAUGAAGGUCUUCGGAUCGUAAAACUCUGUUAUGAGGGAAGAACAAAUGUGUAAGUAACUAUGCACGUCUUGACGGUACCUAAUCAGAAAGCCACGGCUAACUACGUG